Unclassified non-coding RNA from Papio anubis (olive baboon), 148 nucleotides. It matches the Rfam family "Metazoan signal recognition particle RNA". Rfam says of the family: The signal recognition particle (SRP) is a universally conserved ribonucleoprotein. It is involved in the co-translational targeting of proteins to membranes. The record is from Ensembl. NCBI's taxonomy places the organism in Eukaryota, Metazoa, Chordata, Mammalia, Primates, Cercopithecidae.
GCCAGGCAUGGUGGUGCGUGCCUGUAGUCCCAGCUACUCGGGAGGCUGAGGCAGAAGAAUCAUUUGAACCCAGGAGGCCAAGGUUGCAGUGAGCCAAGAUUGUGCCACUGCACUCCAGCCUGGGCAACAAAGUGAGACUCCGUCUCAA